Molecule: unclassified non-coding RNA, 590 nt
Filed under: Acisanthera sp. 1 Rocha 830
Lineage: Eukaryota; Viridiplantae; Streptophyta; Magnoliopsida; Myrtales; Melastomataceae
Description: partial external transcribed spacer
Source: RNAcentral
CAGGCUUGCUCGAGCAACAUUUCGGUUCUCCGGGGGCUCCUCCUUGAAGGCGUCGUCGGAGGGUCGCGUGUCGCUCGGCUCGCGUUGGGACGACGCAUGAGUGGCUUUUAGGACACGAUCCCAGAGCAGGCUCCAUGCUCCUCGCAUCGAACUGCCCUGGUCUGUCCGUCUCAUUAGUCGGUUUGCCUCGGCCCUUUCAGGGUCGGCUGCGGCUGCGCGGUGGGUUCCUGUGCUCGAUAUCCGAAUGCGGUAACGGGAUUGAUUCUCUUCCCCGUCUUGGUUCCCUCGAUCCACCGCCGUCCCCUUGGGAGCUGGUGGGGAUAUCAUGCGGGCAUCCGACGUUGUCCAUCGGGAGAGUAGACCCCCUUCGGGCGCUUCUUCUCGUGAUGGCGCGUAGGUGCUGCGGGGCAUGCUCUCGGGUACGGUGAUGUCUCUGGUUGUCCCGUCGGUCCUCGUCGGCCGUCGUGAUCUCGACGUUUCGAAGCGUUAAUGCUUCUGCUCGCGCGACUCUCGUGCCUGUCUAAGGGCUCACGGAGCUCCUCGGCUUCGUGAUCUUCUUGGGGGAGGCAUCGAGGUCUACGGAGGAAUGC